GGGGACAUUGGUGACAGGUGGUGCAUGGUUGUCGUCAGCUCGUGUCGUGAGAUGUUGGGUUAAGUCCCGCAACGAGCGCAACCCUUGUCUUUAGUUGCCAUCAUUAAGUUGGGCACUCUAGAGAGACUGCCAGGGAUAACCUGGAGGAAGGUGGGGAUGACGUCAAAUCAUCAUGCCCCUUAUGCUUAGGGCUACACACGUGCUACAAUGGGUAGUACAGAGGGUUGCCAAGCCGUAAGGUGGAGCUAAUCCCUUAAAGCUACUCUCAGUUCGGAUUGUAGGCUGAAACUCGCCUACAUGAAGCUGGAGUUACUAGUAAUCGCAGAUCAGAAUGCUGCGGUGAAUGCGUUCCCGGGUCUUGUACACACCGCCCGUCACACCACGGGAGUUGGAGACGCCCGAAGCCGAUUAUCUAACCUUUUGGAAGAAGUCGUCGAAGGUGGAAUCAAUAACUGGGGUGAAGUCGUAACAAGGUAGCCGUAUCGGAAGGUGCGGCUGGAUC
Molecule: ribosomal RNA, 502 nt
Filed under: Clostridioides difficile
Lineage: Bacteria; Bacillati; Bacillota; Clostridia; Peptostreptococcales; Peptostreptococcaceae
Description: bacterial SSU rRNA
Rfam family: Bacterial small subunit ribosomal RNA
Source: RNAcentral